UACGGGAGGCAGCAGUGGGGAAUAUUGCACAAUGGGCGCAAGCCUGAUGCAGCCAUGCCGCGUGUAUGAAGAAGGCCUUUCGGGUUGUAAAGUACUUUCAGUCGUGAGGAAGGUGUUAAGGUUAAUAACCUUAGCAAUUGACGUUAGCGACAGAAGAAGCACCGGCUAACUCCGUGCCAGCAGCCGCGGUAAUACGGAGGGUGCGAGCGUUAAUCGGAAUUACUGGGCGUAAAGGGCACGCAGGCGGUUAAUUAAGUUGGAUGUGAAAUCCCCGGGCUUAACCUGGGAAUGGCAUUCAAGACUGGUUAGCUAGAGUCUUGUAGAGGGGGUAGAAUUCCAUGUGUAGCGGUGAAAUGCGUAGAGAUGUGGAGGAAAGUACCGGUGGCGAAGGCGGCCCCUGGACAAAAGACUGACGCUCAUGUGCGAAAGCGUGGGGA
This 437-nucleotide ribosomal RNA is filed under the name uncultured bacterium. RNAcentral describes it as "bacterial SSU rRNA". It matches the Rfam family "Bacterial small subunit ribosomal RNA", at positions 340 to 767 of the family's 1533-position model. The record is from RNAcentral.